UCAGGACGAACGCUGGCGGCGUGCUUAACACAUGCAAGUCGAACGGAAAGGCCCUUCGGGGUGCUCGAGUGGCGAACGGGUGAGUAACACGUGGGUGAUCUGCCCUGCACUUUGGGAUAAGCCUGGGAAACUGGGUCUAAUACCGAAUAUGAUCAUGCUCUUCAUGGGGUGUGGUGGAAAGCUUUUGCGGUGUGGGAUGGGCCCGCGGCCUAUCAGCUUGUUGGUGGGGUAAUGGCCUACCAAGGCGACGACGGGUAGCCGGCCUGAGAGGGUGUCCGGCCACACUGGGACUGAGAUACGGCCCAGACUCCUACGGGAGGCAGCAGUGGGGAAUAUUGCACAAUGGGCGCAAGCCUGAUGCAGCGACGCCGCGUGAGGGAUGACGGCCUUCGGGUUGUAAACCUCUUUCAAUAGGGACGAAGCGCAAGUGACGGUACCUAUAGAAGAAGCACCGGCCAACUACGUGCCAGCAGCCGCGGUAAUACGUAGGGUGCGAGCGUUGUCCGGAAUUACUGGGCGUAAAGAGCUCGUAGGUGGUUUGUCGCGUUGUUCGUGAAAACUCACAACUCAAUUGUGGGCGUGCGGGCGAUACGGGCAGACUGGAGUACUGCAGGGGAGACUGGAAUUCCUGGUGUAGCGGUGGAAUGCGCAGAUAUCAGGAGGAACACCGGUGGCGAAGGCGGGUCUCUGGGCAGUAACUGAC
RNAcentral lists this ribosomal RNA (703 nucleotides) under Mycobacterium sp. L1926. RNAcentral's name for it is "bacterial SSU rRNA". It matches the Rfam family "Bacterial small subunit ribosomal RNA", at positions 24 to 744 of the family's 1533-position model. The record is from RNAcentral. Lineage: Bacteria; Bacillati; Actinomycetota; Actinomycetes; Mycobacteriales; Mycobacteriaceae.